RNAcentral lists this ribosomal RNA (585 nucleotides) under uncultured Acidobacteriota bacterium. RNAcentral describes it as "uncultured Acidobacteria bacterium partial 16S ribosomal RNA". The record is from RNAcentral. Lineage: Bacteria; Pseudomonadati; Acidobacteriota.
GGGAGCUCUCCCAUAUGGUCGACCUGCAGGCGGCCGCGAAUUCACUAGUGAUUCGUAUUACCGCGGCUGCUGGCACGAAGUUAGCCGCAGCUUCUUCUUCGGGUACCGUCAUUAUCGUUCCCGUCGAAAGAGCUUUACACCCCGAAGGGCUUCAUCGCUCACGCGGCGUCGCUGCAUCAGAGUUUCCUCCAUUGUGCAAGAUUCCCCACUGCUGCCUCCCGUAGGAGUCUGGCCCGUGUUUCAGUGCCAGUGUGGCCGUGUGCCCUCUCAGGCCGGCUACCGAUCUUCGCCUUGGUGGGCCGUUACCCCGCCAACUAGCUAAUCAGCCGCGGACUCCUCUUCCAGCGCAUUGCUGCUUUCCUCUUACGAGCUUAUGCGGUAUUGUCCCCAGUUUCCCGGGGGUAUUCCCCACUAGAAGGUAGAUGAUCCACGUGUUACUCACCCGUACGCCACUUUACUCACAGUAUUGCUACUGCUUUCUCGUGCGACUUGCAUGUGUUAAGCGCGCCGCCAGCGUUGAUUCUGAGCCAUGAUCAAACUCUAAUCGAAUUCCCGCGGCCGCCAUGGCGGCCGGGAGCAUGCGAC